This 374-nucleotide ribosomal RNA is filed under the name uncultured bacterium. RNAcentral's name for it is "bacterial SSU rRNA". It matches the Rfam family "Bacterial small subunit ribosomal RNA", at positions 524 to 898 of the family's 1533-position model. The record is from RNAcentral.
GACGAACCGUGCGAACGUUAUUCGGAAUCACUGGGCUUAAAGGGCGCGUAGGCGGCCGCUCAAGUCCGGGGUGAAAUCCCCCAGCUCAACUGGGGAAGUGCCUCGGAUACUGGGUGGCUCGAGGGAGGUAGGGGCGUGUGGAACUUCCGGUGGAGCGGUGAAAUGCGUAGAGAUCGGAAGGAACGCCGGUGGCGAAAGCGACACGCUGGACCUCUUCUGACGCUGAGGCGCGAAAGCCAGGGGAGCAAACGGGAUUAGAUACCCCGGUAGUCCUGGCCAUAAACGAUGGGCACUAGGUAGUGGACUGACAUGGGUUCACUGCCGAAGCAAAAGUGUUAAGUGCCCCGCCUGGGGAGUAUGGUCGCAAGGCUGAA